AGUCAAUAGAUACCCCGGUAGUCCACGCCGUAAACUAUGGAUGCUAGCUGUUAGAGGUAUCGACCCCUCUAGUAGCGAAAGCUAACGCGUUAAGCAUCCCGCCUGUGGAGUACGGUCGCAAGACUAAAACAUAAAGGAAUUGACGGGGACCCGCACAAGCGGUGGAGCGUGUUGUUUAAUUCGAUGGUAAGCGAAGAACCUUACCCAGGCUUGACAUCCUUGGAAUUUUGGCGAAAGCCGAGAGUGCCUUCGGGUAACCAAGUGACAGGUGUUGCAUGGCCGUCGUCAGCUCGUGUCGUGAGAUGUUUGGUUAAGUCCAUCAACGAGCGCAACCCUUAUAGUUAGUUGAAUUUUUCUAGCUAGACUGCCCUGGCAACAGGGAGGAAGGAGGGGAUGAUGUCAGGUCAGUAUUACCCUUACGUCUGGGGCUACAAACACGCUACAAUGGCCGGUACAAAGGGCAGCCAAGUCGCGAGACGGAGCAAAUCCCAUCAAAGCCGGUCUAAGUUCGGAUAGCAGGCUGAAACUCGCCUGCUUGAAGCUGGAA
Molecule: ribosomal RNA, 547 nt
Filed under: uncultured bacterium
Lineage: Bacteria
Description: bacterial SSU rRNA
Rfam family: Bacterial small subunit ribosomal RNA
Source: RNAcentral